This 255-nucleotide long non-coding RNA is filed under the name Elaeis guineensis (African oil palm). RNAcentral's name for it is "long non-coding RNA (EGUI_LNC042636)". The record is from RNAcentral. Lineage: Eukaryota; Viridiplantae; Streptophyta; Magnoliopsida; Arecales; Arecaceae.
UUUAAAAUAUAAGACUCAUUAUCACACAACUUAAUGGGAGGCUAUGAAUAAGUUAUCUCAUAACUGUAUCAUUUUAUAGACCUAAUAAUUUAGAAGAAUUGAUUUCAUUGAUCUGAGAAUAAGAGAAGAAGUUAACCUGCAAGUUAUAAAUCCUUCCACUGACUUCAUCAAGUCAUGUAAAGGAUUAGACACAAGCUAAUCUAAAGAUAUCUAAAUCAGUCAUACUGAUUAACCUUGAUGGCAUGAGUUUGCUCG